Molecule: ribosomal RNA, 392 nt
Filed under: uncultured bacterium
Lineage: Bacteria
Description: partial 16S ribosomal RNA
Rfam family: Bacterial small subunit ribosomal RNA
Source: RNAcentral
AUACGGAGGAUCCGAGCGUUAUCCGGAUUUAUUGGGUUUAAAGGGUGCGCAGGCGGCCAUUUAAGUCAGCGGUUAAAUCGUGGGGCUCAACCCCAUUCUGCCGUUGAUACUGGGUGGCUUGAUUGCGGUCGAGGUUGGCGGAAUUCGUUGUGUAGCGGUGAAAUGCAUAGAUAUGACGAAGAACACCGAUUGCGUAGGCAGCUGACCAGACCGCAAAUGACGCUCAUGCACGAAAGUGCGGGGAUCGAACAGGAUUAGAUACCCUGGUAGUCCGCACAGUAAACGGUGAAUACUUGUUUUCGGCGAUAUAAUGUCGGAGGCAAAGCGAAAGCGAUAAGUAUUCCACCUGGGGAGUACGCCGGCAACGGUGAAACUCAAAGGAAUUGACGGGG